Non-coding RNA from Pelobates cultripes (western spadefoot toad), 243 nucleotides. The record is from the annotation of a GenBank genome assembly. Lineage: Eukaryota; Metazoa; Chordata; Amphibia; Anura; Pelobatidae.
CCUAGUCACACCUCCCUGCAUGUGACUUGCACAGCCUUCCAUAAACACUUCCUGUAAAGAGAGCCCUAUUUAGGCUUUUAUUGCAAGUUCUGUUUAAUUAAGAUUUUCUUAUCCCCUGCUAUGUUAAUAGCUUGCUAGACCCUGCAAGAGCCUCCUGUAUGUAAUUAAAGUUCAAUUUAGAGAUUGAGAUACAAUUAUUUAAGGUAAAUUACAUCUGUUUGAAAGUGAAACCAGUUUUUUUUU